CCAAAUUUUGCAUGUAAAAUUGUAAAUGCACAUAACGAUGAGGAUCGUGCUUACACCAAUCCAAACAUUCACGGAUUUUUCCAAAUUUUAAGAUUUUUGAAAUUCAUUUUAAAAUUUGAAUAACAUGUUAGAAAGGUGGAUCGAUUGGUAUACAAGUGUAUGAACAAUUUUCAUUCUUAUGUGCGUUUCCAAACAAAAUCUGAAGGAGAUCAAUCAACAUGAGAUUUCGGUACCAUGAUACUACCAUCCGAAUGUCUUUUAACUUUCUGGACUUAUGUUAUCCUCAUAAUUUCGCAGUGGAUGUUGAGCGCGCAAACGGAAUUCCCGCCUAUUUAUGCAAAUCAGACGAUUUGCGUACAGAAUAAUAAUAAGCAAUCCAAAAAAGUAAAGUGCGCGAAAGCGAAAGUUUCGAUCCCGUGGUCCCGUGGACAUGCACAAAUUUAGUGCUAUUAACCAGGACAUUGUCCUUAAUAACAAUCCUCCUGUCAACCGUGUUACUGCUUUACCGAUAUCUGUCAAAAAGGUUUCUCGUGGACUUCGUGAGCAAGACAGGAAAACUGGAUAUUUUAAGAAAAAGUGAAAAUAAAAAAAAGCUGGUGAAAUUCUGUUACUUAAUCGAUUAAAACUUCGACAAAAAGAAACUGCGCGUUUUCAAAGGCUCUCAACGACAUGAAUGCACAUCCACAACGAAAAAUACGACCGCACAAACAGUAAAUUCUAAAAGAUUCUUUUAGCGCAAAUUCAAGUCCGAAGAAUGAAAGCCCAAGAGCCAACCGAACACCAGGACGUGACCGUGAUAAAGCGGCACAAUCUGCGAAUCAACCGGUAACGUCAACCUUCCCCAUCGGCCCAAGAACUUUCUGAAGAGGUCAAAAACAGCAUAAUCUCGCUAGCAAACCGGAAUCGCAGUUCCCUGUUUAAAAAUUAUGCCGUCCAUACUUUCAAACACCCGGCCAAAAGCUGACGUUAACCGACAUCGGAACGCGCUACCGAUUUCUUUGUUAUUGGCAUUUCAGCGGUCACCGCAGUGAUCCUCAUCGUUUCCACCCGCACUGGCUCAGAUGCCAAGACUUCUCGUUUUGGUUGCACAAAAUUCAAUCCAGUCUCAUUGUAGGUCGCAAACCUGACAUCUUUGAACAAUCCGUCCAACACAAUCCCGUCUUUUCCUGCCGUACAAAUAUCCUCAUCCGUCCGGUUGUCAGCGCAGUUCAUUCCCAGCCGAUGGAACAUGAAGCCCAACCGCCGGUCCUCCAUUCGAAAAACAUUCCAAGUACUCGAAGGUCGUGAUUGUGCCCACCUGCAAAUAUGCCAUCGUCGUGGCUGGGUAGAAAUUGGCCGCCAUGGGAACGUCAUGUGACACCGAACGGCGAAUCAUCUGGAACCCAUUGGAAUCGGUAUAAAAGGUCAUAUUGCUCCGCACAUCAGAGCUAAUCCUCAGCACAAUCUCCGAAUUCGGCAACGAUGUCAACUCCGUAAUGGUCUCCAUCUCCAUAAUCCGACCGUGGUCGGCUGUGGUAUUGUAAAUUCGCGUUACGUGCAGUAUGUUCUUUGAUCCGAUCGACUGCACCUCGGUGAACAGGGGCCCUUCGAUGACCCGCACCGUUCGUGGAUACGGAUGAAUAUCGGCGAUCCCGUUGGGAAUAAACAGGUCACGGCUUCCAAGAGACCCGUUUCCGGGGAGAAGUGAGCGGAAAAGUGAGGAGUGACAACGUUAAUCAAAUUGUCGGUACCCAUGGAUUUAAUCGUGAAUCCCGGGAUCUUCCCUUUCAGUGGGUGAGUACUGCGGAUCACGGAGCCGGAGCGCUCCGCAAUCCUGACCUUUUCGGAGCGCUUUCCCAAGGAACGGAUGGUAAUGGCUUUAAGAGCUAAGGGAUCGAGAGUUAAGGAAAAAGAGAUGCGAACAAUGUCGAAGAAAUCCCCGCUGGUGUCCAAGUCGUUGAGGGCCGGCGAGACUUGGUAUGGAAUUGUCUUGCCGUUGGAGUCCGUGAGCUGGACGUUCUGGGUUUCCACAAACAAAUGGAUGGUCACUUUGCGCGACCGGGAAAGAGAAUUAAAGAUGAAGAUGCGACGUUCUUUGUCGGUUGCACCAAAGCGGAUAGGCGAUUUCACCGAAUUACCGCAUGCGCCAUCAGCAAUCCAUUCUGCAGCUUUUCACCGUAAUCCAUCGCCACAUAGCGUUUGGACGUGCCGGUUAUGGCGUCGUGGUGUUGAAACAGUCCCAGUCCGAUUGCCGCCCGAUUCAGUCCUAUGAGAUCCUCGGCAAACAAGGAGGUGUUGCGGUUGGCCGAAUGUGUGGAAAGUCGCACCAAUGAGUACAUAAUUUCAGCGGUGCGCAGAUCGCGCUCUAGUUCUCGGGACAUUUGCUUAUAGAACGGACGUGAGGUAAAGUAGCCGGUCCAGUAAUCCUCAAAUUUGUCGGCGUAUGGAAAAAAGUCGCCUUGGACUCGAGGGACGGAUGAGGGUGGAGUGGUCCACGUGGUGUCCAGACGUGAGGCCACGGCGGCAUAGUAGUCUUUCAGUGUGCCAAACUGGACGCGCGCCUUGUUGGCGGGGUUGCCGUUAAUUUCCUAUGAUAAACCAUUCCCAGCAUAACUUACCGUGGGAAAAUUGUGACGCAAAUAACAAAAGUCUGAUAAUAAAAUUAACUGUGACUAUCUCGACAGAUAUAAUUAAACUGGAUA
Paramacrobiotus metropolitanus is the source of this 2681-nucleotide long non-coding RNA. RefSeq lists it as uncharacterized. The record is from RefSeq and is a predicted model, not a curated record. NCBI's taxonomy places the organism in Eukaryota, Metazoa, Tardigrada, Eutardigrada, Parachela, Macrobiotidae. The transcript is spliced from 5 exons.